This 253-nucleotide ribosomal RNA is filed under the name uncultured bacterium. RNAcentral describes it as "partial 16S ribosomal RNA". It matches the Rfam family "Bacterial small subunit ribosomal RNA", at positions 524 to 776 of the family's 1533-position model. The record is from RNAcentral.
UACGGGGGGGGCAAGCGUUGUUCGGAAUUACUGGGCGUAAAGGGCUCGUAGGUGGCCAACUAAGUCAGACGUGAAAUCCCUCAGCUUAACUGGGGAACUGCGUCUGAUACUGGAUGGCUUGAGAUUGGGAGAGGGAUGCGGAAUUCCAGGUGUAGCGGUGAAAUGCGUAGAUAUCUGGAGGAACACCGGUGGCGAAGGCGGCAUCCUGGACCGGUAUUGACGCUGAUGCGCGAAAGCGUGGGUAGCAAACAGG